GAGGGGAACUCUGGGAAAGAGAGACGGGCGGGAGAUUUGCUACUGUGAUGCGGAGAAAGUUGGACGGGGCGCUGAUUCAACACAGGACCAAAGGCAACAGGACUGAGUGAACAUGGACUGAAACCCCCCAUAGCCAGCGAAGGGAACCGCCACAUUGGCUUGCACAUGCGCAAAAUGAAGGGAGUUGCACCUCUCCGCACCUGCACGCAAGUCUGUUCAAAGUGGACCAAAACCGCUGAAUUCGUGCUCAAUGAUUCUCAUGGUUCCGUGAUGGUGCUGAAUCCAGACGGGAAAGCAGAGUGCUGUGCAUGGGAGGCAGCUUUGGCAUUUCACAUACCAUGGACAGAGAAUACGUGGAGGGAGUCACGAGGGCGAGGUACUAUUUGAAAAACAAGGCAACUGGAAGACUUUGCUCAGAGGAAGGUACCCAGGAGCUGCUGCCAAAGAGCCAAAUCUCGCUUCUUCAGCUCAGCACCGUGGAGGUCGCCAUGCAGCUCUCCACGAGUUCCAAUGUUGAAUUCUUCCACAACAUUGAGCCUAAUGAAUACAUAGGUGAUUUAUUUAAACUCAAAUAAAAAACCAGCUUAGCCAACCUGAAGAAACUUGAGGAAGUCUUUAACCAGGAAACAUUUGGGUGGCUUCUGAAAUCCUGGGAGAGACAACUAGCUGAAAGAGAAUGAAGAUCUUCAAGCCUUCAUUAAGAUUGCCUCGCACUGUAGGGAAUGCAAGAAUUUUAACUCCAUGUUUGCAGUCAUCAGGUAAGAGGACCUGUCCUAUGAGAAGCUGACUCUACAGAUUUAACUAUAUAUAUAUACACUAGUUUUGGAAUACUAUAUAAUUAUAGAAAUAUUGACU
Molecule: long non-coding RNA, 855 nt
Filed under: Mus musculus (house mouse)
Lineage: Eukaryota; Metazoa; Chordata; Mammalia; Rodentia; Muridae
Description: pluripotency associated transcript 20
Source: RNAcentral